GGGGAUGUAGCUUAGCGGUGCAGUGCCUGCCUGACAAGCAAGAGACCCUGAGUUCAAUUCCCAGUACCA
Non-coding RNA from Heterocephalus glaber (naked mole-rat), 69 nucleotides. The record is from Rfam. NCBI's taxonomy places the organism in Eukaryota, Metazoa, Chordata, Mammalia, Rodentia, Bathyergidae.